This 551-nucleotide long non-coding RNA is filed under the name Homo sapiens (human). RNAcentral describes it as "HSALNT0165393". The record is from RNAcentral. Lineage: Eukaryota; Metazoa; Chordata; Mammalia; Primates; Hominidae.
UUUGAAUUCCAAGAUGACAGUGCCCCUCUGAGUCAGGCAGGGUAUAUUUUAAGUCACAGUUACUUGAGAAGUCCCUCCCCAAAGCAGAUCACAGACAUCACUUCUUCAUCUGGUUGAGAAGCUUCUGGAUGGAGUCAGACUGCCUGGCAGAUCCUGGCUGCACUCCAGAGAACUAUGAGCACUGCCAGACAGCCCCCUGGCACUAGGGCUGGCCAAACAGUCAUGGCACAAGGAUCCUCUGUACUUUUACUGGGCACCAAGCCCAGCUCCAUCAGGGCAGAAUGUGGAGCUCAGCAGUUUGAAGUCUGGUCUCCAUGGCACUAGGGCCAAAGGCAAGCUACAGAAAUUCCAAGGCAACUGCAUUGUCUCUGGUGUAGGCACAUGACACAUUCCACCCAAAAAAUUAAGAGAGGCUGUAUCCUGUCCCUGAUCCAAGGUCUAACAGCAUUGGCAGGAUCUCAUAUGAAUGAGCACAGUACUAGAAGACAUCACGAUGAGGCCUUAUUCCAACUUCAGGUUGCAGUGUGUUUUCAACAUGGCACUUAAACUUG